AAAAUUCCAAGUUUAAUUCAAUGUGUUACAAAUUUACUAGCUAUUCACUACAUCUUCAUUGAAAACAUUAGACAUGAAUUAAAAAUGAGAGGAUCAAUAUUUUACUCUUUGUGUGACGUUUCCCUUUUUUUUUUUAACCAGUUGAUAUUGGAUUAUCACUUUACGUUCAAAUUCGAAAUAUAACAAAAGCCGUUUCUUUAAAAGCAUCAUCCUCGAGGAAGUGACAUCUUUUUUGAAGGAAAAUCUGUAAGUAUUCUCGUGUCACUGGAUCUGAUGAAUUCCUCCUUUCACAUCUCAGGAUUUGUUGUUUUUCUCUGUUCUGUGCUGCUGUUUCUCUGUGCAGGUCUGAAUCUCUGUGGGAUGUUGAUCAAUGAGAGAAGAACAGCCUGAAAACACGUUUCCCAAGAGGAACGGCAGCUUCGAACUGGCAGAUCAAAUGCUGCUGAGGUGUCUUGUGAGAAUGAAUCCUCAAAUUGAAAUAUGACUCUUUUUUUCAGCUCCUCUGACACCGACAAGAUAAACCCUGUUUUCAGACAGACCAGAGCAAAUAGAAGCACCGCUGACAAUAUUUCUAACAAUCAUCCACUUCAAGUGUCCUCGCUGCUGCCAGCGUUACCAUGGAAACCAGCAUCAGCACCGCAACACCGUCCGUCUCGGUCGUCAGCCUGGAGAUCAUGUCUGAGAUCAGUCAGAAAGCGACGCUCGUGACCCCGAGCUCUGGGUCGUCAUGGUGAGGACUGUGGUGAUGCCGAGCGCGACCCGAGCCGGAGCGGCGUCCAUGUUGAUCCAGAAGGAGACCCAGGAGAGGAUGACGAUGAGGAGGCUGGGGAUGUACAUCUGGAUCAGUGUUUGGUGCAGUAGCCCAGGUCCUUCUCGUCUCUGAUGAUGAACUGUGGUAACGUCAGACCAUCAGCCACCUGAACGGGACCUUUAUCAAGCCACUCGAAUAUCAGGUCGUUCAUGGUGUAGCCGACUGUAG
This is a long non-coding RNA of Megalobrama amblycephala (Wuchang bream), 979 nucleotides long. RefSeq lists it as uncharacterized. The record is from RefSeq and is a predicted model, not a curated record. The transcript is spliced from 4 exons. NCBI's taxonomy places the organism in Eukaryota, Metazoa, Chordata, Actinopteri, Cypriniformes, Xenocyprididae.